Ipomoea triloba (trilobed morning glory) is the source of this 934-nucleotide long non-coding RNA. RefSeq lists it as uncharacterized. The transcript is spliced from 2 exons. The record is from RefSeq and is a predicted model, not a curated record. Lineage: Eukaryota; Viridiplantae; Streptophyta; Magnoliopsida; Solanales; Convolvulaceae.
CUUUAGUCCCGUGACUCCCGUCCCUGUAUUGCGUUUGUUUCUUCGAGGCGAGACCCAGAGACGAGGAGUCGGUUGCGACGGAGUGUGGUUGGCGAUCGGCGUUUGUUUCUUUGGGAGCGAUCGGCGUGCCGCGUGCGUGAAGCGAUUUAGGGACGCGGCUGCGACGGAGUGUGGGAGCGAUUUAGGGACGCGGCUGCGAGGAAGGCCAGGAAGCCGUGCGUUUAGGGACGGUGACAGAGAGAGUCAGGUUGUUUCGAAUUUCGAAUUUCGAAUUCAGGGACGGCGACAGAGGAAGGGCAAGAGAGAGGACUCAGAGGAGGAGUCGCGGCCAGAGGCGAUUUUCGAAUUUCAGCCAGUUAGGUUGUUUCAAUCUUUUUUAGUUUAAACCUCCAAUUUUAUAUGUGUUAUGUUUUUGCUGUCUGCCUGUGGCCUGUGCACUGUCUGCCUUGUCUUGCUUGUUGAUUAAUUGAUUUUGCUUAAUUGCUCAAUAUCUUGUGUGGUUUGUUGUUUACCUGUGCAGUGCCCGGUCAUUUAUUUGGUUUCUGGUUUCAAAUUUAUUUACAUAUUAAUAUUAUGGCUCCUGGCAUUAGAAAAUAUAAAUCUGGUUAUGAAAAACGUAAGAAACAAAAAAAAAAUGAAGAGGUACAACGAUUACAAAGAGGAGCAUUAGAUAAGUUUGUAAUUAAAUCACAAGUUUGUUCUGAAAAUCCAAAUGUUGAUGUUGAUGUGGAUAAUGUGGAUAACAAUAUUAAUGAAGUAGAGAAUGGCAAUUUGAAUAAUUCACCCAACAAUGAUAAUGAAGUAGAGAAUGACCAUUUAAAUAAUUCACCCAACAAUGAUAAUGAAGUAGAGAAUGACAAUGUGGAUAACAAUAUUAAUGAAGUAGAGAUUGAUAUUUUUGAUCCAAGAAAUUGCGAUGGACUUGAUUCGAAAA